GCGGAUAUAGCUCAGGGGUAGAGCGCCGGCCUUAGUGCCGAAGGCAUGGGUUCGAGUCCCAUUAUUUGCA
This 70-nucleotide transfer RNA is filed under the name Beijerinckia sp. 28-YEA-48. It matches the Rfam family "tRNA". From Rfam's summary of the family: Transfer RNA (tRNA) molecules are approximately 80 nucleotides in length. The record is from Rfam by way of RNAcentral. Lineage: Bacteria; Pseudomonadati; Pseudomonadota; Alphaproteobacteria; Hyphomicrobiales; Beijerinckiaceae.